RNAcentral lists this long non-coding RNA (1088 nucleotides) under Olea europaea subsp. europaea. Lineage: Eukaryota; Viridiplantae; Streptophyta; Magnoliopsida; Lamiales; Oleaceae. The record is from RNAcentral.
CCUACAUUCAUCCUAAAAAUCAAUUUCACCAUAUUCCGUCUUCUCUUGACCCCCCUUUCUCUGUUUACCAACCACACUCCUACUCAACCAUUCAUCCCAACCAAUGAUAACCAGAAUCACAGGUCGUGGUGGAGUUUCUCGUCACGUCGAUUGCGGCAGUGUUGCUCGCACCAGCAAUGAUGUGGAGAAGCUUUUAGUCGCACCAACGACGUUGUGAGCGCUGUUGCAAGUAGUCGUGUCAACGACACCACUACUACUACAAGCAACGCCUGGCAGUGAAGCUUGUUGUCACCGACGACAUCGCUAUUUCUACAAGCAGCAACGAUGCGACGAAGCUUCUCAUCAGGUCGACAAUGUUACUACUGCUACAAGAGGAGGAACAUUGCUGAUUUUGCUGUUGGAGUGUUGAUUUGCAAACAGUGCCAAUCUGUCGAUUUACAUUUUAAUCUUUGGAAUUUGUUACUAGGUUUUCUGAUCCAAUUUACUGUGGGUAAGCUGUGAGUGAUUUGUUUUGGUGGCGUUUUGAGGUGUGGGCGUUUUGAGCUACGGAUACUAUGGGUAGGGGCAUGCUUGCCUUGAAAGGAGGAAAUUGAAGGUGAAAACGGGAAUUGUAGAUAGAGGUAAUGGUAACAUAAUAGUGGUGGAUUGUUGCUAUGAAUUUGAGGUGAUGGUUGUUGUGGAUUUGACAUUGUACUUGUGGUUGUUGCUGUAGAUUUGGGGUGAAUGUGUUAUUUCUGAUUGUGAAUUUGAGUUGAAGUUGUAAUGAUGGGGGGCAUUGGAGGUGAUGAUGGUGAUAAUUGGAGGUACUGUUCUGCGAUGUGUGUAGAUUUGUUUGUGAUGACACUUUGUAACCAAAUAUGUGUUUAUUGUGAUUGAUUGUGAUCAAUUUUAUGCUAAUUGUGACUUGAUCACAUACUGUCACAAUUAAGAUUGAUCAAAUUACAAGUAGUUACACUGAAAACAUAUUAGGUCACAGAUAGUAACAUUGAAGAUAAAUUUGAUCACAAUUAGUUAUAGAUGACAUAGAUUAAUGACCUGGUUACACAAAUUAGACAAUUACAUAUAGUCACACCGAAGACAAAUUUGAG